This 442-nucleotide ribosomal RNA is filed under the name Dendropsophus aff. minutus. RNAcentral's name for it is "partial 16S ribosomal RNA". It matches the Rfam family "Bacterial large subunit ribosomal RNA", at positions 1831 to 2460 of the family's 2925-position model. Lineage: Eukaryota; Metazoa; Chordata; Amphibia; Anura; Hylidae. The record is from RNAcentral.
CGCCUCUUGUAACUUAUAAGAGGUCCAGCCUGCCCAGUGACAAAGUUCAACGGCCGCGGUAUCCUAACCGUGCGAAGGUAGCGUAAUCACUUGUUCUUUAAAUGAGGACUAGUAUGAAUGGCACCACGAGGGUUAUGCUGUCUCCUUUUUCUAAUCAAUGAAACUGAUCCCCCCGUGAAGAAGCGGGGAUAAAAUUAUAAGACGAGAAGACCCUAUGGAGCUUUAAACUACUGCGACACUAGCACUUACGCCUGUACACUUGAGAAACAUCAAAAUUAUCAAAAAUAUUUAAGCUAGCAUGAUCGCUAGUUUUAGGUUGGGGUGACCAUGGAGUAAAAAAUAACCUCCAAGCCGAACGGAACCAUUUCCUGAGCCAAAAGCUACAACUUUAAGCACUAAUAAAUUAACAUUAAUUGACCCAAUAUAUUGAUCAACGAACCAA